RNAcentral lists this unclassified non-coding RNA (307 nucleotides) under plant metagenome. RNAcentral's name for it is "partial contains 5.8S ribosomal RNA, internal transcribed spacer 2, and large subunit ribosomal RNA". The stretch from base 1 to 105 matches the Rfam family "5.8S ribosomal RNA", at positions 50 to 154 of the family's 154-position model. The record is from RNAcentral.
GAAAUGCGAUAAGUAAUGUGAAUUGCAGAAUUCAGUGAAUCACCGAAUCUUUGAACGCACAUUGCGCCCGCCAGCACUCUGGCGGGCAUGCCUGUUCGAGCGUCAUUUCAACCCUCAGAACCCCUUGCGGGAUCUGGCGUUGGGGAUUGGCAUCCAGCCAGCCCCGAAAUCUAGUGGCGGUCCCUCCGCGACCUCCCCUGUGCAGUAGCGAUACCUCGCAGCGGGACAGCGGUCUGACCACGCCGUAAAACCCCCAACUUCUCAAGGUUGACCUCGAAUCAGGUAGGAAUACCCGCUGAACUUAAGC